GAAUUGAAUAUAGAGAAAACUCAUAUAGUGUCCGAUAAUGUGGUUCGACAGUCUCUACAGAAUGACCUUAAAUCAUUCUACUAUGAGUGAACAUGUCUUUUUG
This 103-nucleotide non-coding RNA is filed under the name Proteiniclasticum ruminis. Its description in RNAcentral is "Guanine sequence". It matches the Rfam family "Purine riboswitch aptamer". From Rfam's summary of the family: Riboswitches are metabolite binding domains within certain messenger RNAs that serve as precision sensors for their corresponding targets. Allosteric rearrangement of mRNA structure is mediated by ligand binding, and this results in modulation of gene expression. The record is from Rfam by way of RNAcentral. Lineage: Bacteria; Bacillati; Bacillota; Clostridia; Eubacteriales; Clostridiaceae.